Molecule: long non-coding RNA, 849 nt
Organism: Mercenaria mercenaria
Lineage: Eukaryota; Metazoa; Mollusca; Bivalvia; Venerida; Veneridae
Exons: 2
Source: RefSeq, a predicted model, not a curated record
ACAUCAGGUCAGAUGCAAAGAAAUAGUUCUUGCCUUUUCUCUUCAUUGAUUGAAAAAAAAAGAAGUGUAUAUAAAAAGGAUGUUUUUAUAAUAGUUUUCAACUUUAGUAUUUGACACCUUCUUUAGCUGACCAAAAAGGUGUAUGUGUGGAAUCAAUUUAUCUGUGUAGUAAUACCAAAAUUUGAAAUCUGGCAUUUGAUGAGUCAGUCAGGGAGAAAAUGGAAACACAUUGUGAGAGGUAACAAUAUUAUACUGUUUAUUUUUUUUUAAUUGUUACUGUCUUUAACAUGUCUUAUUUACUUACUCUUAACAAAUACUCAAAUUUGAAACAACAUUUACAAAUCUGCUUGGAAUUAAAAUCGAACCAAUCUCCUUUUAGGAAGUUUGGCCGAUGGAUUAUUAAUCCAAGAUAUAUUUUCUAGAAUAUAGCUCAAUUAUGUUUAUAACACUGCUGGUAAAAUUGUAUCAUUGUAAUUAUUUACAGUGUUGAUUAGCACUUAGGAUACAAUAUGCACUUUAAACUUUUCAUACCAGGAACCUUCUGUGAAAAAAUGCGACUUUGUGACAUGAUCUGCCUGCCUGGCUGUAUAUACCAAAGCAGCAUACAGCUUAUUACUGCAUAAAAGAAACAUAUCAAGAUAAUUCUGAAUCAGAUUGUGUGCUGGAAAAAUGGCUUUACAUCCGAAGGAGUGAAAUUUGGAGAGUCAUUUGCCAUCUACUUAAGCCAUCCUGGAAUAUGAAAAAAUAAGACUGCAUUGACAGCAUCCUAAUCCCCGUGCUCAUAUCUUUUGUGAUUUCUUGUGAAGGGUCUUUGAUUUUUGCAUAAAAAUAAAAAAUAUAUUAAUAUAA